UAUAUUUCAUUAAGAGGAUGUGAGUGGUUGAGAUAUUGACUUGAAAAUGCGUACAAUACAUAUGAUAUUGUUGAACAAUAUAACGCUAAAGCUAUUAUCGUCGAGCUAACGCUAAAGCUAACAGCAUACUGUUAAUAAGGCUGAGUCAUGUGCUUGCUGAAAUGCACAAUAUUGACUCAAUAUGUGAGCUGGCGUCAUGUUAUACACCGUGCCAGUUAAUAUUUACUUAAAAAAGUUCAUUAAUGUUGGUAGCGAUGGGGAUACUGCUAUUGUAAAGCAUUUGUUAAUGGGAGACGAUUGUGACGGUACCGCCGUUGCUAAAGGUAACAGACUGUUGAUUACUGUUACUUCGUCAUAUUAACAGCUGGGUCAUUGACACGGGGAUGUUAGCUGUUAAGCUCCUGAUUACGUUCUAUCAAUUUUGUAGAUAUUUUUGCUUAUACAGGUUAUCUUUACCAAGCACCUAGUUGUAACACAUUGGAAAUUAUAUUUUUUAUGUGUUAAAAUAAUACAACAUGCUGUUCUAAUUAUUGAGGGGGUUAUUCAUGAUGGUAAUGAUAUAGAUAUUUGCAAUGUCAAACAUCACAUUAUCGACAUAUAUGCUCUACAACCACAAGUUCAAAUAGAUAUAGAUUUAAUGGAUGGGUUGUAAGCUGCCUUGAAGCUUGUGAACCAGCUCCUCCUCUAUAUUUGCUUCAGUAGCUGCUCCUGAAAUUUAUCUACUACUGUACCGUAUGUUACCUUUAUAUGAGUUUGAUAUAAUUCAUAAAAUGUAUUCUGUGACAUUUUAAGCUGCAGCUAACAGUGACGUGAUGUUUUAGAGCUGUUUCAUUUUCUAUUACUAUUAUGACUAAUAAUGUUGCUUUUCUCAUAGGCCUGCUGUUUUAAUGUACUAUGUAUCUGACAGAUAGCACUAAUGUAUUGUUUUUUGUCUCAAACAAACAGAAGAUUAUACCACUCCCGUGCGUUUAUUGGUAAGUACAAGUGUUAUUACCAAAAGUGACAUUGUACUCUAAAAAUUAGCUGGAUGAAUGUUUUGCUUUAUCCUGCUAAACAACAACUCAUGAGACAUAUAUUUCAACAGAUGAUGCAUCUAAUAAAGACUGACUUUAAUUACAUAUUAAAUGUUGAUCUUUCUCUAUCAGUACUGCAUAUCUCCUAUUAUACAUGUAUAUAUAUAUAUAUAUAUAUAUAUAUAUAUAUAUAUAUAUAUAUAUAUUGGAUACAUUUUUUCCUGGUGGACAAGUGUGUUAACAGUGUUACCACACAACUACAUUUGUUUAUUCAAAACAUUUGAAGUUGCUGGGAAAGUGUGACUUCAUUUUCAUAAUAAUGAUGAGGGAAAAUCAUUUGGGAAAAUGAGUGAAUGAAGUGAGCUGUGAGGUUGUUUGUUGUAAAGAGUAUUAAAUAUCUCUUUUCUACAUUUUAAGCUUCAUGUUUUUCAGGCCAAGGUUGCUUCACUAUAAUCUUUCCAGUAAUUAUGUGGUAUAAAACAUGAACUUGGAUUAGAAAUGACAAAACUAAUGAUUGUCAAUUAAAAAUGGUUGUGCCUUCAAUUAAGUAUGACAUAAUGAUUGUUUUGCAACUACAUUUACAUUUUCCUCCUCUAUAAUUUCACUGCUUCUGAAAUUGGCUAUUCUAUCUCUUUAAUGCAGACCAUUGUGUGUUUUUUACAACACAUUAUGUAAAACCCUACAUCAUGUCAUAAUUUCACAAACUGCUGCAUCUUUUCACUGAAUUGUAACAUUAACCAUUUCAAACUAUGCCUUAUCUUAACUCAAGCUGAACCUAAUGUUAAUACGUUUGCUGCUUGAUAACAAUUGAAUAAUUAUUACAGUGUCAUCUUUUGUUUUUUGACAAUGACACUCUAAAUGUUUCAUCUCUAUUUUUCCAUUUCCCCUCCUAGUGACUCUACCUUGUGUUUAAGUGCAGACCGCUUGCCAGUCAGUGUAAGUUUAUACAUGAAUGACAUUUUUAUGAAUAUCACUGUGUGCCUUUAUUGUACACAUUUUACACACACCUCUCUUUCUGUAGUUUGUACAGAAUUAAGGUUACUUUCAUACACAUGAUAUUUGAUCACAUGCUUAUGAACAUUAUUAUUAAGGCAAUUAACAUUGACUCAUAUAAGCAUUCAAGAUAAGUGGGUGAUACAUCUUUUGGUAAAAUACACUGAGCUCGUACAUACAUUUCUUCAUCUAUUUAGUAACAUUUUAGAUGUUCAGUCCUGAUACAUUUUUGAAAAGAUGAUCAAAUAACAAUGCUCAGUUUCAGCAUUUGACUCAACUACACUUUGAAUAGAUGUGUAUUCAGAAUUCCCAUAUGUUACUUUGAAUGAAAGCACAUUAUAAUGACAUUAGUUUCGGGUGAAUGUCGGUUGAUUUAAAUGUUUUUAUUAUAUUUCAUACAAAUUAUUAAUAUUUAUUUCCAUUUUUCUUACAGAUAUCCUGUACUGUCCCUCCACUCUCUCCUAUCAUUUUGGACAUUCUGCCUUUCUAUCUCUCCUCUAUCCAACUCUGACUAUUUGAACAGCUAUUGCCAGCCUUUACAACCUAUUUUGAAAGCCUUUACCACAGCCUUUGACAGCCUUUAAAAACCGUUGUGAAAGCCUUUAAGAAAGGCUUUGACUGCCUUUGACAGCCUUUCUACCACUUUUAGAGCCUUAAAAACGGGCAUUCAGACACUUUGAGAACACUUUUUGGAAACAAGCUUUUCUUUUUCAACUGAUCGCGUGUAAAAGCAAUACUUUUGAAACAGCAAAAUCUUUGAAA
This is a non-coding RNA of Xyrichtys novacula (pearly razorfish), 2768 nucleotides long. The record is from the annotation of a GenBank genome assembly. Lineage: Eukaryota; Metazoa; Chordata; Actinopteri; Labriformes; Labridae.